ACGGAAACGGUCCGGGGCUGAGCUGCAGUCAGAUCCGGGGAUGGAGGGAGCCGGAGAAGAGGAGUGAGAAGGCCGGGGAGGCAGGCCCUGCUGUCUUCCUGCAGGCCGGCAGCCUGCUGGCAGUGGAGGACCAGGCCGUCCAGGAAAGGAAGGGGUCAGGAGGUCGGGCAGGGCCUCAGCAGGUUCAGACAAGUCCCCAGAAGGGAGCUGCAGGCGCCCUCGAGUCCAGGCCCCAAGCCUGGCUCCGGUUGUCCAAAGAGGGCCUAGGCCAGGCCUCUGGUGCGGAAACUGAGUCACAGCCAGACCUCAGGGCACGGCCUAGACGCUUACGAGCCAAAGUUAGGGGUAGAGAGCAGAGACCUCCGGGGGGUCUCAGGGAGUAGGGGGCUUCAGGGCCUCCCAGUCUAGAGCCGGAUUGGCGAGUUAGACGCUUGUAGAUCCAAGGUUGGAUUGGGGUGGGGUCUCUGGGACGUUGGAUCGCUACGCAAGGAUUGGGGGGAUUCAAGUGCUUAGAGAUCGAAGUCUGCCCUGGGUAGGGGGAGUCAGACAAUUGGAAAGCCUAGGUAGUUAUUUGGGGAGGGGUCUCUACGCCUUGGCGAAGCGCACAGCUGCAUCUUUUUGGCUUGAGGCCUGAGGCCUUGUCGAGAAGCUUCCGUGAAAGGGUGGGCCAGCCGGGCCACGAGAAAGAAAGUGAAUAAAUCAGGAAUAUAAGUGGGCGGGGGGCCCCUGAGAGGGGGGUCGCAAAGGGUGAGACAUGGCCACCAGGCGUUUAACCGACGCUUUCUUGUUGUUGCGGAAUAAUUCCAUCCAAAACCGGCAGCUGUUAGCCGAGCAAGUGAGUAGUCACAUCACCUCCAGCCCUCUGCAUUCACGUAGCAUUGCUGCGGAGCUGGACGAGCUUGCUGAUGACCGUAUGGCACUGGUGUCAGGCAUCAGCUUAGAUCCAGAAGCAGCGAUUGGUGUGACAAAACGGCCACCUCCUAAGUGGGUGGAUGGAGUGGAUGAAAUUCAGUAUGAUGUUGGCCGGAUUAAGCAGAAGAUGAAAGAAUUGGCCAGCCUUCAUGACAAGCAUUUAAACAGACCCACCCUGGAUGACAGCAGCGAAGAGGAACAUGCCAUUGAGAUAACUACCCAAGAGAUCACUCAGCUCUUCCACAGGUGCCAGCGUGCCGUGCAGGCCCUGCCGAGCCGGGCCCGGGCCUGCUCCGAGCAGGAGGGGCGGCUGCUUGGGAACGUGGUGGCCUCGCUGGCGCAGGCCCUGCAGGAACUCUCCACCAGCUUCCGGCACGCACAGUCAGGCUACCUCAAACGCAUGAAGAAUCGAGAGGAAAGAUCCCAGCAUUUUUUCGACACAUCAGUACCACUAAUGGAUGAUGGAGACGAUAACACUCUUUACCAUCGGGGUUUUACAGAGGACCAGUUAGUUCUGGUGGAGCAGAACACACUGAUGGUGGAAGAGCGGGAACGAGAGAUUCGCCAGAUUGUACAGUCCAUUUCUGACCUGAAUGAAAUAUUCAGGGACUUAGGGGCGAUGAUUGUAGAACAGGGUACAGUCCUUGACAGAAUUGACUAUAACGUUGAACAGUCCUGUAUCAAAACUGAAGAUGGUUUGAAACAGCUUCACAAGGACUUCUCCCACGUGGAAGGCCUUCUUUCUCAAUCUCUUCGCCUGUGGAAGUCCUAUUACAUCUGUCAGGGCAUGGCCUUAGUCUCUCACCCUCUAGGAAGAUCCUCCAGCUGUCUCAGUCCUCUGGAGUGCCGUGUGCCUGUCUGCAACGUAUUUGCAAACAGAAAAAAGAGUGAGAGAUCUUCAUACACACUUGCCUGCUCUGUGCCAGGAACUGGAGGAAAAAAAAACAACAAAAAGUCAAAAAGACCUGCCUUCAGGAUGCUGAAGCUCUAGUCUGUGGUGUUUCCAAGGGGCCAGGGACCAUGGCUCAGAGCUGAGCAGACAGACCUGGAGCCUGUGGACAGGGAAGGCUGGUUAUGAAGAAGAAACUCAAAAUAACAGGAGUGGCUUAUGGAACUACAUGGAGCUCUGGCAGGCUGCCCUGAGCACGCUCAACCCCAACCCCACGGACAGCUGUCCCCUCUACCUGAACUACGCCACCGUGGCUGCCCUGCCCUGCAGGGUGAGCCGGCACAACAGCCCCUCGGCCGCCCACUUCAUCACGCGGCUGGUGCGGACCUGCCUGCCGCCCGGAGCGCAUCGCUGCAUUGUGAUGGUCUGCGAGCAGCCGGAGGUCUUUGCUUCCGCCUGUGCCCUGGCCCGGGCCUUCCCGCUGUUCACCCACCGCUCAGGUGCCUCUCGGCGCUUGGAGAAGAAGACGGUCACCGUGGAGUUUUUCCUGGUGGGACAAGACAACGGGCCGGUGGAGGUGUCCACAUUGCAGUGCUUAGCGAAUGCCACAGACGGCGUGCGGCUAGCAGCCCGCAUCGUGGACACACCCUGCAAUGAGAUGAACACCGACACCUUCCUCGAGGAGAUUAACAAAGUUGGAAAGGAGCUGGGGAUCAUCCCAACCAUCAUCCGGGAUGAGGAACUGAAGACGAGAGGAUUUGGAGGAAUCUAUGGGGUUGGCAAAGCCGCCCUGCAUCCCCCAGCCCUGGCCGUCCUCAGCCACACCCCAGAUGGAGCCACGCAGACCAUCGCCUGGGUGGGCAAAGGCAUCGUCUAUGACACUGGAGGCCUCAGCAUCAAAGGGAAGAGGGCACGGAAACGAAUACAGUGGCUCCCGGACCUCUUUGGGACUGUGGCCUGAUACUCCAGCACAGGGGGUACUACCAUGCCGGGGAUGAAGCGAGACUGCGGGGGUGCUGCGGCCGUCCUGGGGGCCUUCAGAGCCGCAAUCAAGCAGGGUUUCAAAGACAACCUCCACGCUGUGUUCUGCUUGGCUGAGAACUCGGUGGGGCCCAAUGCGACAAGGCCAGAUGACAUCCACCUGCUGUACUCAGGGAAGACGGUGGAAAUCAACAACACGGAUGCCGAGGGCAGGCUGGUGCUGGCAGAUGGCGUGUCCUAUGCUUGCAAGGACCUGGGGGCCGACAUCAUCCUGGACAUGGCCACCCUGACCGGGGCUCAGGGCAUUGCCACAGGGAAGUACCACGCCGCGGUGCUCACCAACAGCGCUGAGUGGGAGGCCGCCUGUGUGAAGGCGGGCAGGAAGUGUGGGGACCUGGUGCACCCGCUGGUCUACUGCCCCGAGCUGCACUUCAGCGAGUUCACCUCAGCUGUGGCGGACAUGAAGAACUCAGUGGCGGACCGAGACAACAGCCCCAGCUCCUGUGCUGGCCUCUUCAUCGCCUCACACAUCGGCUUCGACUGGCCCGGAGUCUGGGUCCACCUGGACAUUGCUGCACCGGUGCAUGCUGGUGAGCGAGCCACAGGCUUCGGUGUGGCCCUCCUGCUGGCGCUCUUCGGCCGUGCCUCUGAGGACCCUCUGCUGAACCUGGUGUCCCCACUGGGCUGUGAGGUGGAUGUCGAGGAGGGGGACCUGGGGAGGGACUCCAAGAGACGCAGGCUUGUGUGAGCCUCCUGCCUCGGCCCUGACAAACGGGGAUCUUUUACCUCACUUUGCACUGAUUAAUUUUAAGCAAUUGAAAGAUUGCCCUUCAUAUGGGUUUUGGUUUGUCUUUCUGGUCGUCAGCGUGGUGGUGGAAACAGCUGAAGUUUUAGGAGACAGCUUAGGGUUUGGUGCGGGCCACGGGGAGGGGACCGGGAAGCGCUGGGGCUUGUUUCUGUUUGUUACUUACAGGACUGAGACAUCUUCUGUAAACUGCUACCCCUGGGGCCUUCUGCACCCCGGGGUGAGGCCUCCUGCCUGCCUGGUGCCCUGUCCCAGCCCCAGGUCCUGUGCAGGGCACCUGCGUGGCUGACAGCCAGGCUCUUACUCCAGCCGGGGCUGCCAGCGCAUCCAGCCAGCCCAGCCCUGUGAAAGAUGGAGCUGACUUGCUGCAGGGGACCUGAUUUAUAGGGCAAGAGAAGUCACACUCCGGCCUCUCAGAAUUCACUUGAGGUUCAAUUAAAUACAGUCACACCGCCCCCUCA
Molecule: long non-coding RNA, 4048 nt
Filed under: Homo sapiens (human)
Lineage: Eukaryota; Metazoa; Chordata; Mammalia; Primates; Hominidae
Description: STX16-NPEPL1 readthrough (NMD candidate) (STX16-NPEPL1)
Source: RNAcentral